GACGAACGCUGGCGGCAUGCCUAAUACAUGCAAGUCGAGCGGAGUUGAUAGAAAGCUUGCUUUCUUGAUACUUAGCGGCGGACGGGUGAGUAACACGUAGGCAACCUGCCCUCAAGCUUGGGACAACUACCGGAAACGGUAGCUAAUACCGAAUACUUGUUUUCUUUGCCUGAAGGAAACUGGUAAGACGGAGCAAUCUGUCACUUGGGGAUGGGCCUGCGGCGCAUUAGCUAGUUGGUGAGGUAACGGCUCACCAAGGCGACGAUGCGUUGCCGACCUGAGAGGGUGAUCGGCCACACUGGGACUGAGACACGGCCCAGACUCCUACGGGAGGCAGCAGUAGGGAAUCUUCCGCAAUGGGCGAAAGCCUGACGGAGCAAUGCCGCGUGAGUGAUGAAGGUUUUCGGAUCGUAAAGCUCUGUUGCCAGGGAAGAACGCUUGGGAGAGUAACUGCUCCCAAGGUGACGGUACCUGAGAAGAAAGCCCCGGCUAACUACGUGCCAGCAGCCGCAGUAA
Molecule: ribosomal RNA, 516 nt
Filed under: uncultured bacterium
Lineage: Bacteria
Description: partial 16S ribosomal RNA
Rfam family: Bacterial small subunit ribosomal RNA
Source: RNAcentral